Molecule: ribosomal RNA, 253 nt
Filed under: uncultured bacterium
Lineage: Bacteria
Description: partial 16S ribosomal RNA
Rfam family: Bacterial small subunit ribosomal RNA
Source: RNAcentral
GACGAACCGCGCGACCGUUGUUCGGAAUCACUGGGCUUAAAGGGCGCGUAGGCGGCCGCCCAAGUCCGGGGUGAAAGCCCCCAGCUCAACUGGGGAAGUGCCUUGGAUACUGGUUGGCUCGAGGGAGGUAGGGGUCCGCGGAACUUCUGGUGGAGCGGUGAAAUGCGUUGAUAUCAGAAGGAACGCCGGUGGCGAAAGCGGCGGACUGGAUCUCUUCUGACGCUGAGGCGCGAAAGCUAGGGGAGCAAACGGG